This 82-nucleotide transfer RNA is filed under the name Actinomyces sp. RNAcentral describes it as "tRNA-Leu(tag)". It matches the Rfam family "tRNA". From Rfam's summary of the family: Transfer RNA (tRNA) molecules are approximately 80 nucleotides in length. Their secondary structure includes four short double-helical elements and three loops (D, anti-codon, and T loops). The record is from RNAcentral. Lineage: Bacteria; Bacillati; Actinomycetota; Actinomycetes; Actinomycetales; Actinomycetaceae. RNAcentral also lists the same sequence under 2 other names.
GCGCGAGUGGCGGAAUUGGCAGACGCGCCAGAUUUAGGUUCUGGUGCCUUCGGGCGUGAGGGUUCGAGUCCCUUCUUGCGCA